Molecule: transfer RNA, 61 nt
Filed under: Megalothorax incertus
Lineage: Eukaryota; Metazoa; Arthropoda; Collembola; Neelipleona; Neelidae
Description: tRNA-Thr
Source: RNAcentral
ACUCUCUUAGUUUAACAAAAAAUUAAAGUUUUGUAAAUUUUAGAUCCAUUUGGAGAGAGUU